Molecule: ribosomal RNA, 475 nt
Filed under: uncultured bacterium
Lineage: Bacteria
Description: bacterial SSU rRNA
Rfam family: Bacterial small subunit ribosomal RNA
Source: RNAcentral
GAUGAACGCUAGCUACAGGCUUAACACAUGCAAGUCGAGCGGUUUGUGCUUUUGCACAUUCAGCGGCAGACGGGUGAGUAACACGUAUCUAACCUUCCCCUUACUUGGGCAUAGCCUCUGGAAACGGAGAUUAAUUUCCGAUGUGGUGUACAUUUCGCAUGUUUUGCGCACCAAAGAUUUAUCGGUAAGGGAUGGGGAUGCGCUCCAUUAGGUAGUAGGUAGGGUAAUGGCCUACCUAGCCUAUGAUGGAUAGGGGUUCUGAGAGGAAGGUCCCCCACAUUGGAACUGCGACACGGUCCAAACUCCUACGGGAGGCAGCAGUGAGGAAUAUUGGUCAAUGGCCGGAAGGCUGAACCAGCCAAGUAGCGUGCAGGAAGACUGCCUUAUGGGUUGUAAACUGCUUUUCCACGGGAAGAACCCUCCGACGUGUCGGAGACUGACGGUACCGUGGGAAUAAGCAUCGGCUAACUCCGUG